GUGUUUGCUACUAAUUUCAUUAACUUUUAAUUGAUACAUCUUCUGAUCUCUUGAAUAUGGUUUUAUAAGGUUGUAGCUUUGGUUAGUGUUUAUAUGAUGAGUGUUGAAUGCCAUUAUAGAAGCUUUGUGAUUCCUUGAAGUUGUGUUAGUUGGAGCUUUUGUUUUGGUUUAGCAUAGUCAAUAGGAAAAAGCACUAUGAAACCGUAGAAUACUAAGUUAUGUGCUGCUCAUGUCUUUAUGGAUUGUUCAUUAUUGUGUUAGCUAGAGCCAGAGCUUUUGUUUUUGUUAGCAUAAUCAAUAGGAAAAAGCACAAUGAAACCGUGGAUUCGUUGAAUACCAAGUUAUGUGCUGCUCGUACCUUUAUGGAUUGUUAGGUCUAAUUUCUAUUGACUCUGUUGAUGAUGAAGAAUGGUGGAGUAGUAAAAUAUUUCAUAAGAUCUUAAAUCUUUUGAAACGUUCUACUUCUCUUCGUUAAUGGCCUCUCUUCACUUGGUUAAGAGAGGCUAAGUUUUUUAAGGCCUGCUUUCUGUUGUUUACUUCAACCAAAAUGUUUUUGAAAAAUAUUUUACAAGAAAAUGUUAGUUCUCCGAUAUCUAGACCACUUCUACACAAAGUGAACAUGGCAUUAGAAGUGUAAAAUGUUUAGUGGAAGAAAAUAACUUAUCUUCUCCAAAAUACCUCUCUUCAACCUCUCCAGCCCAACCCUUCAUUUGCCUGUAGCAUCUCCCAUCCAACCGAACCCUUAUUCUGCAUGCAACUGCUGUCCCACCGGCGACUCAUUUUUGUUGGCUAUAGCCUAGCAAAAUGGGACAGAGGGAGUAGUAAUCAUUGGAAUUCCUUUUAUGUAUAAAACGUUUUCCAAGUAGAUCAUUUUACUCUGCUUUUUUCUUUUUUCUUUUUUGAAAUACACCGUGAAUAGCCUGUAAAUGAAGCACAUGAAUAUUAUACUGAUCUGGCCAAACUUCAUUGAAUUGGUUUCUAGUUCCAAUUGGUGCAUCAUUGAGAUGUGGAAUCUAUAGAAUAUUGAUAAAUUGCAACACAGUAUGUAUUCUUUUGGUGAAUUUUAAGUGCCUCCCAUAUAAAAAUAGAGAAGGAAGAAAAUAUUGACUUGUAAUGCAUUUUAAACUUUUCUUGACUCGGAAGAAAAUUGGUUCUUUGCUUUGAGUUAUGCCAUUUCAUUUUAUGGAUUCCCCAAG
Long non-coding RNA from Ipomoea nil (Japanese morning glory), 1196 nucleotides. RefSeq lists it as uncharacterized. NCBI's taxonomy places the organism in Eukaryota, Viridiplantae, Streptophyta, Magnoliopsida, Solanales, Convolvulaceae. The record is from RefSeq and is a predicted model, not a curated record. The transcript has 2 exons.